Molecule: long non-coding RNA, 6203 nt
Filed under: Marmota monax (woodchuck)
Lineage: Eukaryota; Metazoa; Chordata; Mammalia; Rodentia; Sciuridae
Source: RNAcentral
CUUUCAGGAAAGUUCACCAAGUGAGAACCCACAGGACAACCUGGGCUGCCACCUGACUUUGUAAACACAGCCCUUCUCACUGUCUCUGCUGCAGAGUGGCAGAGGAAGAGCUACGAAAAUGGCAGAGGGCACCAGGGAGGCCGGGGGCAGCCCUCAAUACAGGACAAGGCGCAGCUGCAGCGGGCACACCUCCUGCCCUGGGCACCUGCGCCCUGGGGCCUCUCCCACCCUCUCUCCUCUCCAACCCAAGGUGAUGGCCACACGGGCCACCUGGCCAUGGCCCACCUGUUCUCUGGCCUCCUCUCUGCCAUGGCCUUGUCUGCUGGAACUGACCUCCCCGCUUCAAACACCACCAGCCCUCUGUGGCUCUGCUGGCCUCUCAGCCACAUCCACGAUCUGUCUUUUUUCGGUUUUGGGGAUUGAUCCCAGGGGUGCUCCACCCCUGAGCCCUGUGCCCAGCCCUUUUUUUGUGUUUAGUUAGAGACAGGGUCUCACUGAUUUGCUUAGGGCCUCACUAAGUUGCUGAGGUUGGCCUUCACAUUGCAAUCCUUCUGCCUGGGCCUCAAGGUGUGCCCCACAAAGCCUGGUGCUUCAGCUCAGGUCCAUCUGGAGCCCCACUCUGUGCUCAGAGCCUGGGCACCUGCUCCUGGAUGCCUAGGGCAGCAUCCCACCAGCAUGAGCAGAGGUGAGGGUCCCCUGCUGCCAGCACAGUCCCUACAGAGCCCCAUGCUGGGUUGCCAAUCUGUGUGCUCCUGGCUCCCUGCUGAGUGUGGCAGGCAUCUUUUUCCAUGUCCCCAGCAUCCAGCAUUUAGCAGGUUCAUGAAUAUCCAAUGACACAGCGACCUUGCCUACCCUGUGAUGCGAGAAUGAGACCCAUGGACACUGGAGACCCCAAGGCCAACUGGUGCUCGAGGCCCAGGAGCCGCACAUGCUGACUGGGGGCGGGUAGUGCACUUGCCUGUUGAGCUCAUGCACCAUGAAUUCUCCCAGUGGCCCCACAUCACCAUCUGCUGCUCCUUCAGCUGCUUGGCCACCUGCAUGAUGCCCAGAGCAGAGGAUGGCCUCAGAGGUGGAUUCAGAGAAAAGGUCUUGAGCUGCUGGACAAUUAAAGGGCUCUUUCUGCAGCUCUACAUCUUUAGAAAGACUUUAAAAAUGCCCUAAGGGGCAUUGGUGCACCCCUGUCAUUCCAGCAGCUUGGGAGGCUGAGGCAGGAGGAUCACAAUUUGGAGGCCAGCCUCAGCAAAUCAGCGAGACUGUCUCUAAAUAAAAUAUAAAAAGUGCUGGGGAUGGGGCUCAGGGGUUGAGUGCCCCUGGGUUGCAUCCCUGGUACCAAAAAAUAAAGAAAAAGAAAUGCAGACUUCCUGUGCUCACGCUGGACACACAAUUUGAUGACAUGGCACUGGAGACCAAAAACCAGCUCCACAGUCAAUUGCAAAAAAACAUGAAAAUGCUCAUAAAUAUUUUCCAUGAGAGACUUCCCAGCAAAUAACAAAUUCAGGGUUCAGAGGCCAAAAGAAAAAGAAAAGAAAAAAAGUCAAUUUUAUUCUCCUAAGAAGUCUCACAUGUUUUGCAAUUUUUAUUUUAUUAAUAUUUGUAAGCCAGGUGUCAUGGUGCAUGCAUGUAAUCUGGGUGGCUCUGGAGGCUAAGGCAGGAGGAUUACAAAUUGGAGGCUAACCUCAGCCAAAUUGGGGCUCUAAGCAACUCAGCAAGACCCUGUCUCUGAAUAAAAUAAAAUACAAAAGAGGGUUAGGGACGGGGCUCAGGGGUUAACUGUCCCUGAGUUCAAUCCCUAGCGACUUCCAUCCCCAAUUGGCAAUACUAUGGAUUGAACCAAGUCCUUUUUGAGACAGGGUCUCAUUUGCCAAGGGUGUGCUUGAACUUGUAAUCAUCGAACUAAUUGCUCCUUGCCUGAACAAGUGGUUUGGUGUAGCAAUUUCAUUUUUAGAAUCUUAUUUGCUAAGAACAACUGCUAAAAUAUGUGCAGAUGAUUGCCCAAGGAUAUUCACUUUGAUUCUAACUGUGACUGAGAAAGGACUGAAAUGUCCACCAGAAGACAAUUGGCUAAAAUCAACACUUCUUUAUCCUUGCAGUGCAGGUUCCUACUAAGAAAUAUGAGACAGGAUUACUCUGUGGCAUGUUAACUGUCCUUGAAAUAUUCUUAUAAGAUGUGAAAGUUUAGAUAUCAUUUUAAUGUGUUGUUAUUAUUAUUAUUAUUAUUAUUAUUAUUAUUAUUAGGUACUAGGGAUUUAACCCAGGACCACAUAACCUCUGAGUCCUGUCCCCAGCCCUUUUUAUAUUUUAUUUAGAGAUAGGGUCUUACUGAGUUACUUAGGGCCUUACUAAGUUGCUGACGCUGGCCUCCAACUUGUUAUCCUCCUGCCUCAGCCUCCUGAGCUGCUGGAUGACAGGCUUCAGCCUCUGCAAUCAGCUAUAUUUUUAAAACUUUGCACACUGAAAAUUCAGAAGAACUGUUUUUGAAACAGACAUUUUCCCCCAGAGGAAUACUCUGCAUGCAUGGAAACUUCCUGCAGAGGUGCCCCAUGGGAGGUAGGGCCCUUACCUUGGUCGGUGUGGAUGGUGGUGGGGUUGAAGGCCUUCCCCAGGAUGGUUUCAAAGCUGUUGGUUGAGAUGGAGAGGGAGAAGCCAGAGCCCAGGCCGUGCCUUUUCUAAAGAAGCUCAUCCAAAAAGAGCACGAUCAAGCCCACCACAAAGAAAUUCAGAAUUAAAAUAAAUUAAUUAAUAAAAGUAGACUCUGCAUUACUGGCCCCAGGGCCCUGGUUCCUUCCGUCUUCAAUGACUUGGCACUCUGCUAUGAAGGCCAAAUAAGAGACCCUUCUCAAUCUGCCUCACGGAAAUUCAGAAGCCAAAGCCAGGAUCUUUCGAUUCUCUUUUUUUUAAGUCUAUUUUUUUAGUUGGAGGUGGACACACCAUCUUUAUUUUAUUUUUAUGGGGUGCUGAGGAUGGAGCCCAAGGCCUUGUGCACGCCAGGUGAGUCUCUACUACUGAGCCCCAGCCCCAGCCCCUACAUUUUAUUUUUGUUCCUUAAUUGUUUUGGGGUUUGCAGGUGGACAGCAUGCCUUUAUUGACUUCAAUAUUUCUCAUUGGAGAUGAGCGCUGUGUCUUUAUUUGAUUGAUUUCCUUUGGGGUGGUGCCCAGCCUCCAACCAGGGGCCUGACCCUGCUCAGGCCAGUGUUUAGCCCUGAGCCCAGCCCUGAGCCUGGCCUGGCCUCAGCUCUGGUUGAGUACUGCUGAGGAGGAAGAGGGAUGGUGGGGUCACUCAGGAAGAGAGGUGCGAGUGGGGGUUCACCUGAGUGGUGAUCAGCAGGCAGAUCCCAAUGCCCAUCUCUGAGGGGUCCCUGUUCAUACAUGUCAUCACAUCCACGAUGGACUUGCCGAUGGUGACGAUCAUGCCGAACACUAGGAUCCCAAGAAAACCCUGAACAGAGUGUGGCAGGAGCACAUAUGACAAAUACUGACACUGCCCCCGGGGACUUGGUAAGGAUUGUCCAACUGUCACAGGUCAAAGUGCAAGAGAACUCAGAAGAUUUCUAGUGAAAGAAGCUUUGGUCUUUUUGUGGCUUUAGGGAUUGAACCCAGGGCCUGGCAGACGGUAGGCAAGUCCACUACUAAACCUCUGCCUAGUCAUCCUAAAUUCUUUUAUUAAAAAAUGGCCUUGAAUUUUUAAGAUGGAAAAACAUUUAAAAAAAAUUUCAAGGGUAAGGAGAAAACUUCUGGGGCUGUAGCUCAGUGGUAGAGUCACUGAGGUCCAUUUACAGGUCUGCAAAAAAUUAAUAUUUAAAAACAAAGAGAGAGAGAGAAAAAAACACCAAAUUUGACCUUUAGAAAAAUAAUGCAAUUUUUUGUUUGUUUGUUUUGCUUUUGGUACCGGGAAUUAAACUCAGGGGCACUCAACCACGGAGCCCCAUCCCCAUCGCUGUUUGUGUUUUAUUUAGAGACAGAGUCUCACUUAGCUGCUUAGGGCCUUGCUGUUGCUGAGGCUGGCUUUGAACUCACAAUCCUCCUGCCUCAGCCUCCCGAGCUGCUGGGAUUAGAGGCGAGCACCACUGCACUAAGCCAAGUAUAUUUUAAAAUGACCAAAAUUACAAUAAAAAAACCCACUUAUUAGUGCUUUAGAAGAAUAAUGCAUUAAUUUAAGGCAUUGAAUAAUAAAUACACUACUUAAUAUUUAAUAAUGCAUUACUUAAUUCAUUAAUGAUUAAUGCAUUAAUACAUAAAUAUAUUCUACAAUCUUGAUUUGUGUCUGAAACACAAAUUUAAGUUAAAUGGAUUUCUCACUCAAUUACUUAACCUUCUAACUUAAGAUCUCUAUGGCAUGCUGUAUGGAAGAUGGCAGAGUAGAAAAUUGUAAAUAUUAUUUUCUAAAUAAUACAUUCCAGUUAACAGAGGCUAGGCUUGACUGACUCUGAGGCUGGCCCCCAUUAUUGGGGCUGCCUAUCAUUUGAUAUGGCCGAUACUCUUAACCUAGUUUAACAGAACAUAGAAACUGAGACUCCAGAACUAUUAUCUAAAUUUCUUCCACAUCAAAAAACUCAUCAAUAGCAGAGCUAGACUGAGAGGAUCACCUUUCCACUCAUUAAAUCCUUUUAAAUGCAGAAGAAAUAUAGCACUUGCUCAAUAAUUACCAUGUGCUAGGCACUGUGAGAGUGAUUAUUCAAUUUAAUCUUUUUUUUUUUUUUUUUUUUUUAGUACUGAGGACUGAGCAGAGGUCCUUCACCCUUGAGUCCCAUCCCCAGCCGUUUUUCAUUUUAUUUAGAGACAGGGUCUCACUGAGUUGCUUAGGGCCUCACUAAGUUGCUGACGCUGGCCUCUGACUGGCUAUUCUCCUGCCUCAGCCUCCAGAGCUGCUGCAACUACAGGCAUACUCCACAGCACCUGGCUUUGAUUUAAUUCUUACGACAGCUCUGGAGUAGAUGUCACCUUCUUCGCAAGGUACAGAAAUCAUGGCUGGUGAAGGAGUGACCUCCAUGCCCUUAUCCUUCAAGCCCAUCCUCUGGGGCAUUCCUGCCCUCCCCUGCCUUGCCUGGCCCUCCCUCAUACCCGGCACCUCCCAGAAGUGCUCUCUCACUAACAGGCCAUGGAGCACCUACAGGCCGGCAGGCCAAGCACACAGGCCAAACUGGGCUGUUUUAAUGCCCCCAAUUUUAGAGCCAAUUCAAAUUCUCAACUAGACACAGAACUGUACCCAUGAUCUUUCUUACACUUCUGGGCUCCAUUGAAGGGGCUUGAUCUUUUGGGGUGUCACCCACUUCAAUCAUCUUGGCGCCAGCCAAGAGCUGCAUCAUGAGGCCCAAGGUGACAAUUGCAGAGAUACCCUGCUCCAUGAGUGUGCCUAAGGAAAGGGGCAGUCACAAAGCCCCUGUGAGCUCAGGAAAGCAAAGUAUCAUUUAAUAAAAUGAACCUAGAGAAUAGCAUGCGACCCCCUCUCCACUUUGGAUGGGCUUCAGGUUGCUGACUUAUAGAAUAACCCUCCAAAACCAAAGAUUAGAACACAAUUGAGUCCCUCUGUCGAGCCCACCAGACCCCAUGUCAUUCUGUUUGGAAAGUAACAUACCCCUCAACAGCCUGCUGCAUUCCCAUCCUUAUGGACAGAUCCAUUCUGGCUGGACAGAGGUCAGAGAGGCCCGUCCUUCAUCAGUUCAUAAAACUGGAGAACAUUCCAAUCAUUUCCUGAUUCUGCAGACAGGGCUGGCAAAAUUGGAUAUAGUUGGGAAUCAACCUUCCCCAUCAUGUUCAGAUGAGCUCUGAUUCUGAGUGACUGGAACUUCAUUGGAACCCCAUUUUUAAACCAUGUCCAUCAAAUCCACCAUCAACAUACACAAGAAAAUAGUUUCCAGACCCACAGGUGACUGGUUAGAAUCGACCCUCCACUGUCACUCAUGGUUUUGAUCUAUAUAUUUCAACUGUAGAUAUGAAAAAGAUGCAGCUGAGAAAACAAUGGAAAGUUCUAGAGAAUGUUCUAGGUGGACUGGCCAUCUUGUUUCAGGGAUUUCAAACACUCUAGUGUUUUCAGGUUUUCAGAAAUUCUCAAGCAGAGAUUUAUCUUGCUCUUCCAGGUUUUGUAUUGCAUUCAAACCCAACUCCAAAGAAGAUGGUGUUGCCCAGGCUGAAUGCACCAUUGAUCAGGCUGUUCGACAUGGCACAUGCAGAAUUUCCAGGCCACGGAGCUGCCCAUUCUCUGAGCU